RNAcentral lists this ribosomal RNA (384 nucleotides) under uncultured Thermus sp. RNAcentral describes it as "bacterial SSU rRNA". It matches the Rfam family "Bacterial small subunit ribosomal RNA", at positions 1002 to 1382 of the family's 1533-position model. Lineage: Bacteria; Thermotogati; Deinococcota; Deinococci; Thermales; Thermaceae. The record is from RNAcentral.
UGAAAGCCUGGGGUGCCCCGCGAGGGGAGCCCUAGCACAGGUGCUGCAUGGCCGUCGUCAGCUCGUGCCGUGAGGUGUUCGGGUUAAGUCCCGCAACGAGCGCAACCCCGCCGUUAGUUGCCAGCGGUUCGGCCGGGCACUCUAACGGGGACUGCCCGCGAAAAGCGGGAGGAAGAGGGGACGACGUCUGGUCAGCAUGGCCCUUACGGCCUGGGCGACACACGUGCUACAAUGCCCACUACAAAGCGAUGCCACCCGGCAACGGGAGCUAAUCGCAAAAAGGUGGGCCCAGUUCGGAUUGGGGUCUGCAACCCGACCCCAUGAAGCCGGAAUCGCUAGUAAUCGCGGAUCAGCCAUGCCGCGGUGAAUACGUUCCCGGGCCUU